Molecule: ribosomal RNA, 316 nt
Filed under: uncultured bacterium
Lineage: Bacteria
Also listed under: 1 other name
Description: bacterial SSU rRNA
Rfam family: Bacterial small subunit ribosomal RNA
Source: RNAcentral
CAGCCGCGGUAAUACGGAGGGUGCGAGCGUUAAUCGGAAUUACUGGGCGUAAAGGGUGCGUAGGUGGUUGAAUAAGUUAUCUGUGAAAUCCCUGGGCUCAACCUGGGAAGGUCAGAUAAGACUGUUUGACUCGAGUAUGGGAGAGGGUAGUGGAAUUUCCGGUGUAGCGGUGAAAUGCGUAGAGAUCGGAAGGAACACCAGUGGCGAAGGCGGCUACCUGGCCUAAUACUGACACUGAAGCACGAAAGCGUGGGGAGCAAACAGGAUUAGAUACCCUGGUAGUCCACGCCGUAAACGAUGUCAACUAGCUGUUGGA